RNAcentral lists this long non-coding RNA (249 nucleotides) under Nicotiana benthamiana. RNAcentral describes it as "long non-coding RNA (NBEN_LNC001261)". Lineage: Eukaryota; Viridiplantae; Streptophyta; Magnoliopsida; Solanales; Solanaceae. The record is from RNAcentral.
CUUCUUGGAGUGACCACUGGGUUUUGCUUUUCAUUGGCAUGCACAAGACCAGCUGAGAUAAUUCAGAAUUUCCCUUUAAUUAUGUCUGUCUCAAAUAAUUUGCUUGGGGUUCCUCUCUCACAGUGUUGUGAAAAGCGAGCGCUUCGUCGCUUAAAGCGCGAAGCGACUCGAGGCGACCAGUUGUCAAUUUUUACUGCCUAAAGCGAUGCGACCACCAGAAGCGCUCGCUUAACAGUGAAAAGCGAGGCG